CUUUCCUACGGGAGGCAGCAGUGGGGAAUAUUGCACAAUGGGGGAAACCCUGAUGCAGCAACGCCGCGUGAGUGAAGAAGUAUUUCGGUAUGUAAAGCUCUGUCAGCAGGGAAGAAAGAAAUGACGGUACCCGACCAGGAAGCCCCGGCUAACUACGUGCCAGCAGCCGCGGUAAUACGUAGGGGGCAAGCGUUAUCCGGAAUUACUGGGUGUAAAGGGAGCGUAGACGGCAAUGCAAGUCCGGAGUGGAAUGCGGCAGCUCAACUGCCGAACUGCUCUGGAAACUGUAUGGCUUGAGUGCAGGG
This 305-nucleotide ribosomal RNA is filed under the name uncultured bacterium. Its description in RNAcentral is "bacterial SSU rRNA". It matches the Rfam family "Bacterial small subunit ribosomal RNA", at positions 334 to 653 of the family's 1533-position model. The record is from RNAcentral.